RNAcentral lists this long non-coding RNA (247 nucleotides) under Lathyrus oleraceus (garden pea). RNAcentral's name for it is "Pisum sativum (pea) long non-coding RNA (PSAT_LNC014584)". Lineage: Eukaryota; Viridiplantae; Streptophyta; Magnoliopsida; Fabales; Fabaceae. The record is from RNAcentral.
AAAACUCAAAUUGGUCAAAGGAGGACUUUUACCAAAUUAAUAUCAUCCAUUCAUUUUGGGAGAUGGAAUGUACAUUACAUCAAUCCCCUAAAUCCAAUGAUAUUAACUUGACAAAGUCAAAUCAACCUUGACCAAGGCCCAAAGGAGGACUUUUACCAAAUUAAUAUCAUCCAUUCAUUUUGGGAGAUGGAAUGUACAUUACAUCAAUCCCCUAAAUCCAAUGAUAUUAACUUGACAAAGUCAAAUC